This 505-nucleotide ribosomal RNA is filed under the name Leucorrhinia dubia. RNAcentral describes it as "partial 16S ribosomal RNA". It matches the Rfam family "Bacterial large subunit ribosomal RNA", at positions 1819 to 2597 of the family's 2925-position model. Lineage: Eukaryota; Metazoa; Arthropoda; Insecta; Odonata; Libellulidae. The record is from RNAcentral.
GUCCUUUUGAAUUUAAUUGAAGGUCUGACCUGCCCAGUGAUGAAUUUAACGGCCGCGGUAUACUGACCGUGCAAAGGUAGCAUAAUCAUUAGUCUUUUAAUAGAGGGCUGGAAUGAAUGGUUUAACGAGGAACUGACUGUCUCACUUUAUUUGUUUUAAAAUUUAAUUUUUUAGUCAAAAAGCUAAAAUUUUAUUGGAAGACGAGAAGACCCUAUAGAUCUUUAUAUAAUUUUUUAUAGUUAUUUUUAUAUUAAUGUGAUUAUAUUAAUUUGUAUUUUGUUGGGGUGACAAAAAUAUAUAAUUAACUUUUUUAUUUAUUUACCAUUGAUAUAUGAAUAUUAGAUCCAUUACUAGUGAUUGUUAGAUUAAGUUACCUUAGGGAUAACAGCGUAAUCCUCCUCCAGAGUUCAUAUUUACAGGAAGGGCUUGCGACCUCGAUGUUGGAUUAAGAUAAUAGUUAGGUGUAGCCGCUUAAUUUAUAGGUCUGUUCGACCUUUAAAAUCUU